Molecule: long non-coding RNA, 2459 nt
Filed under: Mytilus galloprovincialis (Mediterranean mussel)
Lineage: Eukaryota; Metazoa; Mollusca; Bivalvia; Mytilida; Mytilidae
Source: RNAcentral
GUCGACAGAUGAUAUUAUUUCUGCAACCAUCACGCAGUUUUAUCCUUAACUGAUAAAAUAAGAAAAAUCUGCAAAACGAGUUAUGUUUCUUUCAGUUUUGUAUUGCGUUUUAAGUUUAAGUUCCGUUGUUUACAGUGUAAAUGUGGAACGGAGAUCUUCUGAAAAUGGUUUUCUGUGGAUAAUUGCCAAACAACUAGACCGACUAGAAAACAGGUUCCUUGACAUGUAGAAACAGUAUAACAGCAGGGGUGCGGAAAUUGAAUCAAUAAAGGAAACAAUACAGAAACAAAGUAAGUUUUCAAGAUUUUUUAUGAAUAAUGCAAAGAGUUACCGGUUAUUACAAGCUGUGAUGUGUUCCUUUUUGAAAAAUAGACGAAAAAGUUCAAAUUUCCCUAAUUGAGGUUCACUCACUUUAUCGAGUAAAUAUGAAAAGAAGUAGAUGUGGUUAGGUAUUAUAUGCAAACUGCUUCUGUUCGGAAAUCUAUUGAGUCUUACAUCAAUUUUUCAUAAAUUGAUUUCGAGCAGAAACAACGAAAUUCAAUAUAGAAUUUUUCUUAUUCAGACUUAAUGUCUAAAUGAAUGAAAAUAUUCCCUUCACUUUCGAUACGUAAUCCUUUUACAUUUAUUCCUUCAUAAUAAAAUUCAUUAAAUAUUCUGAUCAAGAUUCUUCUACUCAUUUCGAUUAUAAUAAGGGAUGAAAUAUACGAGGGUCAUGAAGACAGAAAACAGAAUAAGGCGAUAAAGAAAAGAGAAAAUUGGAUAAAUCAAAUAUUUGUUACUUUCGUUUUUAUCAUUUUUCUAAAUGACCUGUCUUAGGAUUCCUGAAUUGCAUAGAAAGCUAUAAAAGGCCCCGAUAUGACAAUGUAAAACAAUUCAAACGAGAAAACUAACGGCUUUAUUUAUAUAAAAAACGAACGAAAAACAAAAAUGUAACACAUAAACAAACGACAACCACUGAAAUACAGGCUCCAGACUCGGGACAGGCACAUGCAUAAAUAAUAUGGCGGGGUUAAACAUGUUAGUGGAACCCCUAACCUGGGACAGUGGUAUAACAGUACAACAUAAGAAAGAAUAUAAUGGCCAUUUUCCUGACUUUGUACAGGACAUUUUAAGAAAGAAUGCUGAGUUGAACCCGGUCUAGCGGCUAUCGAAACAUCGCCCUUUUAUGGCAAUGUUAAAUAUAAAAUUAAACUGACAUCAUUACAUGACAGGACUAUAGUAACAAUAAAUGCAAGAACAUUUAGGACAAAGAAAUACACAAAUAAACAUUACAAUAGGACAUUUCGACAUGCUGAUAGGAAUCAAAGGUAUCAGGCUUAUAAUUUAAUACACCAUACGUGUAUUUCGUCUACAUAAGACGCACCAGUGACGCUCAGAUCAAAAUAAUAAAAAAGGCAAACAAGUACAAAGUUGAAGAUCAUUGGUGACCCAAAAUUCUAAAAAGUGGUGCCAAAUACGGCUAAUGUUAUUUUAACGGUUGUAGUUUAAUUUUGAACUUUUCGCUUGAAAGUCAAAAGACAAUUAACACUAACUCUCAAGUGUUCAUUAAAAUGGGUUUUUUUACAAUAUAAAGUACAGUUACUUUAUGGAAUCGGUUAUUAGAACUUGCCCUUGAUAUUUCAAAUUUCAAUGAUUAAAACAGCGUAUUAUUUUAAUUUUCAGGUCCGUCCAUAGUGACGUUUCUGGCACUUCUGAUGUCACCACCUUACGGCUCUAUUGCGGCUUACGCUACCGUAAAGUUUGAAAGAAUAACAGAAAAUAUCGGGAGUGGAUACAAUAGCGGGACCGGGAUUUUUACUACUCCAAUCAAGGGUCUCUACCAUUUCACAGCUUCAGCAAGGCAAAGUCAAAGUGGAUUUUUGCACUUAGGAUUAUUUCGAAACAAUUUACAAAUGGCAGUUUCUGUUGCACGUAAUUUCAAUUCUCUAACAAUUGGCGCAACAAUAACACUUCAAUCUGGCGAUCGUGUUUACGUCAAAAACGUAUCGGAUCAACCAUCUGGUAUUGUAGGUUCUGGACAAUCCUAUUUUUCUGGCAAUCUUGUACACAAAAUGUAAAGAAUAGAGUCAGUUAAUGAAAUGCUUUUUUUUUUUGGUUAUUUUAUUUAUUUCAAUUCAAUAAUACCAAUCAACAUAUGCGUAUUCGUUGGCAUUUAUCUAGAUAUUAUUUUCCUUUAUAAUUCAGAAACAAUGCACAAAUAACACCGUUACAAUGCAGAAAAAGUAAAACACAUAUGGAACUUCGAUAGAAACUAUAAAUUACCAAUUUUGUGUUACUCUUAAAAUUCCGAGACUCAUUGACAACAAUAUAGUACAUGUACAGUGAUCACCUUUAUCAGAAAGUAUGUUAUACCAAUCAAAGUGCUUGUGAGCACUGAGGGUAAAUGUUUGCUUCAUUUUGCAGUUUUGUUAAUUUUUCAAUAAAACCUUGAAUUAUAUUUUGUUAGGCAAAUAAAAAAA